RNAcentral lists this microRNA precursor (106 nucleotides) under Marmota monax (woodchuck). Lineage: Eukaryota; Metazoa; Chordata; Mammalia; Rodentia; Sciuridae. The record is from RNAcentral.
AACUGAAUCACCUGGAAAAUCUCCUUAAAAUGCAGGUUCUGACUCAGAACAUCUGGGGUGGGGCCCAAGAUUCUGCAUUCUUGAAAAGAUCCCAGAUGAUAAUUCA